Long non-coding RNA from Talpa occidentalis (Iberian mole), 744 nucleotides. RefSeq lists it as uncharacterized. NCBI's taxonomy places the organism in Eukaryota, Metazoa, Chordata, Mammalia, Eulipotyphla, Talpidae. The record is from RefSeq and is a predicted model, not a curated record. The transcript is spliced from 5 exons.
CUCGUCUUGUCUCAGAGGGAGCCCUGACCUCAAGUGCUGGGACCAGAGCUUUUCAGCCUUCUGGGCCCUCUGACUGGAUUGACUCUCCUGCCUGAUGAUCAAGCCUUAAUUAACUUGGGACUCUUCCAGAAGGAGGGGCCUCUUGUUAAACAUGGACCAGCACACUAGUGACUUGACUCUUUGGAAGGCUUCCCAGAAGAGGGUGGGAAUGAUUGCUGGAUAAAAGCUCCCAUCAGUGGAGAGAGGAGGGGGGCAGUGACGACAGCAGAGGUAUUCUAAUGGUUGGUUGGCACUAACUCGUAGAAGAGGGAUUUAAUUUGGUAUCAUUACCAGCAUUAAAAAAGAAGAAAGAAAAAAAAGAAGUCAAAUAGAAAACAUCAGUGUAUAUCACAGGUUGUCAUGAUGCUCCUUGAGAUGAUGGCUGUGAAAUGACUCCAAAGUGAACCUCAAGCCCAAUCAAGUGAUGUGCCAUGGUCUAAGUCUCAGGAGCCACCUAUUUGUAGCCCAGGAAAGUGGGGACAUGUGACCUAGUGUCCAUCAUGAUGCUCGGAAGGCCCAUUCUGGGGCAUCUAGCAGUCUGAGUUCGUUGGUUGACUAGUCGUGCCGCCUCUGAUGUCCCUCAGUCACAUGCCAGCCUCCUCACUCAUGCGUACUUUCAAGCGACCAGGUUCAGGUCAGGCUUCAGCCUGAGGACCUAAGGUUCUGCCUCUGGGCAUCCAGGGAGCGAACCUGCAUCCCCCAGCU